RNAcentral lists this long non-coding RNA (205 nucleotides) under Elaeis guineensis (African oil palm). RNAcentral describes it as "long non-coding RNA (EGUI_LNC080919)". The record is from RNAcentral. Lineage: Eukaryota; Viridiplantae; Streptophyta; Magnoliopsida; Arecales; Arecaceae.
GUUCUUCUCAGGAAUUAGUGUUCGUCAAAAUCUCGAACAGGUGCAAACUGAGCUCCUUCAGCUAGCUGCUUUUGAAGGCGGAUAAUUUCGUCGGUCGCCAUCCUGAGCUUCCCCCUAUAGUCGUCCAUCUGCUUGCACCAACCGGUCCGGUAUGCGUUAUAGCUCGCCUCGGCAUCCUGGAGUUGUUGCUGAAGGUCGGAGAACU